GCUGGGAGCUGGCUGGCCAUUUUAGGGACCCCUCAGGAGUCAGCCAACUGUUUGCUAAGGCAAAGUAGGCACCGGUUUAUUAGAUCAUGCCUUCUUGUAAAUAAUUAAAUGGGUACUGCCACUGGGAAAUAUUUCUGAGUUUGUAAAUUGUGGAUGCCAUGGAAACAAGUUUUACUCUGUGGCAGUGCUGGGAGAAAGUGUUCUUUACCACCACUACUUAGAAAUGCUCCAGUACCC
Molecule: non-coding RNA, 237 nt
Organism: Pelobates cultripes (western spadefoot toad)
Lineage: Eukaryota; Metazoa; Chordata; Amphibia; Anura; Pelobatidae
Source: the annotation of a GenBank genome assembly